This 30-nucleotide non-coding RNA is filed under the name Mus musculus (house mouse). Lineage: Eukaryota; Metazoa; Chordata; Mammalia; Rodentia; Muridae. The record is from RNAcentral.
UUGUACCUUAUACCGCUGCACAGGUUCAAA